Hippocampus zosterae (dwarf seahorse) is the source of this 1677-nucleotide long non-coding RNA. RefSeq lists it as uncharacterized. NCBI's taxonomy places the organism in Eukaryota, Metazoa, Chordata, Actinopteri, Syngnathiformes, Syngnathidae. The transcript is spliced from 3 exons. The record is from RefSeq and is a predicted model, not a curated record.
ACCUGAUAGGUUCCUUUUGUAGUUGUGAAGACAAGUUGAGACAAGCAUUGAGAAGCGCAGAGAAGAUGUGAAAGUAAAGAAGCAGAAGGAUCCCUAAAAGCAGUCGCACAGCAAGCGCUGCUCAGCCCUUCAAGACAGUAUAGACAAUUGUGCACUGAUGGAAACAUCCUUGGCCACAGUGACCGCACACACUGUCCAACUACGCUGUGUCAACAAUUGAGACCUUCAUGCUCCUGCAAAGUACAAUCUAUCAGGACCUGAAGUGGAAGGCCAACAUCAAUUCCAUGCUCAAAAAGUCUGCUUUGGUGCUGCUACAAAGGAGAAAAUUAAACCACUACAGACAGCGAGGUUUGCUGAAAGGACCAUCAGAGCCCAGUACUCUGUGUUGAAGACUUGCAAGCUGCAAGGGUGAAGAGGAGGGCAGGCAAAAUACUUUUGUCAGACUUCACUUCGGACACCAUUUUAUACAGCCUUGGUUGGUAGUAUUGAAAAACGCACACCUCCCAACUGAGUCUCUUCCGGUCAUAAGAUUGUUCAACAGUUGAACCGCAAUCUCAACAUCAAACGUUGUGUUGAUGAGAGAAAUCAUUAUACUAUUGGGCACUUGAUAUUGGUGUCGGACUCUAUCGUUGUACAUUUGUGGGAAUGUCCAGUAAAUCAAUUUUAGUAUCGUUUCUUGCUACUAGAAUGACUCCAACCACCAGAGUCAAAUUCCUUGUAUGUUUUAAUAUACCUGUACUUAUAAAGAUAAUUCUGCAGCUGUGAAGUCCUGCAGUGUUAGCUGAUAGCUAUGGAAUGUGUGAAACAAGCAGAAUGUGCCUGUUACAGCUGUGAAUGACGUGGAAUGUUUAAAGUGCCCUUUUUAAACUCAAUAACUCUAUUGUCUUGCAUUGUAGCGUGGUCUGCAUUUCUAGCCCGUGUGAAUGUUUUACUCAGAGCGUUAUCUAUUUUGACAACCUGUGGUGUGCAGUGUCGAAGGUUAGGAAAGCAAAUAAAUUUGAGAACAGUAAUAUGCAAUAGUUGAACAGUUUAGCUACUUUUUUUUUAAACAGAAUCACGUAUGUGGUUUUUAGGGGAACAAUUGAGAGGACUUUUCUUUACGUAAUGUUUUGUUCUUUACAUUAAUUUACAUGGUGGAUAGCAAAUAGGGUGACACGGUGGUCAGUCAACUGGAUAGCAUGUGUGCUUCACAGUGCAGAGGUACAGGGUCUGAUUCCGGCUCCGGUCUUAGUGUGUGGAGCUUGCAUGUUCUCCCCGUAUCUCGAACAUCUCUACUAGAGACACAAGUGACUUUUAAACACAAUACUUAGUCAUGAUUCAUGGUUCUUAAUUAUGUGCUGCAAGAGUGAGUGAACAAUAAUUGAAUAAAAGGGGUGGAUGAACACAAGUCUGCUACUGUUACCAGGGAAUAAUUCACCGCUCACAUUAAAACGUAAAAUUUAGAGUAAGAGGAACUGCAAAAACAUCUCCACUUGCAGAUGUCGUAAAGUUGGGCUGCCGUGGUUGGGCACCCUACAUGUGUGAGAAAACCCACCCCACCACCACCCAUAAUGAUGCCGGCAGCGGGAGUUUGAUUAAAAAUAUUUUUGAGAUGGUAAUGAUAAUAAUAAGUUUAAUGAAAUGAUUUCUGCAAUGAUUCAGAGGGAUUGUCCCACGCGGUUGUCAUAUUUAUAAAUG